GGAAGGAUCAUUAUCAGUUCAUGGCUGUACAUGCUGCAUGUGCAAUCCAAGAUAAACCACUCUGCGUAUUUUUCCUGUUGCUUCCAUGGGGCAUGGUGCUUGCGCCGCUCUGCCGGCACGGUCCUCGAGGCCACCGCCGUCCGGGAGUCCUCAUGGAAGGUCACCCAGCAAACCCUUUGCCUGCUCAUGAUUUCUGUCUGAAUGUGAUUUAUCGAAAUGUUAAAACUUUCAACAACGGAUCUCUUGGUUCUUGCAUCGAUGAAGAACGCAGCGAAAUGCGAUAAGUAGUGUGAAUUGCAGAUCUCAGUGAAUCAUCGAAUCUUUGAACGCACAUUGCGCCCCUCGGCAUUCCGGGGGGCAUGCCUGUUCGAGCGUCAUCAAAACCACCUCAAGGCAUUUUUAUGUUCUUGGUCCUGAAGGUUGAUUGGUUCGAUUUGCCACUCACCUUCGAAAUGAAUUGGCGGGUUGCAAUCUUCAACGAGUGUAAUAACAUUUACCAUUCAUGAGUCGAUCGUUGCACAUCUUGCCAUUGACCCCCACACAUUUCCAGGUUGACCUCGGAUCAGGUAGGGAUACCCGCUGAACUUAAGCAUAUCAAUAAGCGGAGGAAAAGAAACCAACAGGGAUUGCCUCAGUAACUGCGAGUGAAGCGGCAAAAGCUCAAAUUUGAAAUCCGGCGUCUCUGGCGUCUGAGUUGUAAUUUGGAGGGGCAUCUUCGAGGUUGGCGUCGUCCUAAGUUCCUUGGAACAGGACGUCACAGAGGGUGAGAAUCCCGUGCCUGGACGGAUGUCCGGCCUCAUGUGAAGUGUCUCCGACGAGUCGAGUUGUUUGGGAAUGCAGCUCAAAAUGGGUGGUAAAUUUCAUCUAAAGCUAAAUAUUGGCGAGAGACCGAUAGCGCACA
This 901-nucleotide ribosomal RNA is filed under the name uncultured fungus. Its description in RNAcentral is "eukaryotic LSU rRNA". The stretch from base 553 to 901 matches the Rfam family "Eukaryotic large subunit ribosomal RNA", at positions 1 to 346 of the family's 3401-position model. The record is from RNAcentral. Lineage: Eukaryota; Fungi.